RNAcentral lists this ribosomal RNA (497 nucleotides) under uncultured bacterium. RNAcentral's name for it is "partial 16S ribosomal RNA". It matches the Rfam family "Bacterial small subunit ribosomal RNA", at positions 28 to 507 of the family's 1533-position model. The record is from RNAcentral.
GAUGAACGCUGGCGGCGUGCCUAAUACAUGCAAGUCGAGCGAACAGACGAGGAGCUUGCUUCUCUGACGUUAGCGGCGGACGGGUGAGUAAUACGUGGAUAACCUACCUAUAAGACUGGGAUAACUUCGGGAAACCGGAGCUAAUACCGGAUAAUAUAUUGAACCGCAUGGUUCAAUAGUGAAAGACGGUUUUGCUGUCCCUUAUAGAUGGAUCCGCGCCGCAUUAGCUAGUUGGUAAGGUAACGGCUUACCAAGGCGACGAUGCGUAGCCGACCUGAGAGGGUGAUCAGCCACACUGGAACUGAGACACGGUCCAGACUCCUACGGGAGGCAGCAGUAGGGAAUCUUCCGCAAUGGGCGAAAGCCUGACGGAGCAACGCCGCGUGAGUGAUGAAGGUCUUCGGAUCGUAAAACUCUGUUAUUAGGGAAGAACAAAAGUGUAAGUAACUAUGCACGUCUUGACGGUACCUAAUCAGAAAGCCACGGCUAACUACGUG